ACAGUUGUCGCCGAGUGGUUAAGGCGAUGGACUAGUAAUCCAUUGGGGUCUCCCCGCACAAGUUCAAAUCCUGUCGACUGCG
This is a non-coding RNA of Ixodes scapularis (black-legged tick), 82 nucleotides long. Lineage: Eukaryota; Metazoa; Arthropoda; Arachnida; Ixodida; Ixodidae. The record is from Rfam.